This 287-nucleotide unclassified non-coding RNA is filed under the name uncultured fungus. RNAcentral's name for it is "sequence contains 5.8S rRNA gene". The stretch from base 1 to 53 matches the Rfam family "5.8S ribosomal RNA", at positions 102 to 154 of the family's 154-position model. The record is from RNAcentral. Lineage: Eukaryota; Fungi.
GAACGCACCUUGCGCUCCUUGGUAUUCCGAGGAGCAUGCCUGUUUGAGUGUCGUUGAAUUCUCAGAACCCUCCUCACAGGUGGGUUUGGAUUGGUGGAGGAUGCAUUGGACUUUGCUUUGCUUCUCUGAAAUGGAUCGGCCUUACGGCUGCGCCACGAACCUUGUCGUCGGUAUGAUAAUUGUCUUACCUGCUUCUAACCUCUGGCAGCCCGGCCCAGACGAGACUAUCGUCUCUAUCUAUCUACAAUUUGACCUCAAAUCAGGCAGGACUACCCGCUGAACUUAAG